RNAcentral lists this ribosomal RNA (252 nucleotides) under uncultured bacterium. RNAcentral's name for it is "partial 16S ribosomal RNA". It matches the Rfam family "Bacterial small subunit ribosomal RNA", at positions 524 to 776 of the family's 1533-position model. The record is from RNAcentral.
UACGUAGGGUGCGAGCGUUGUCCGGAAUUAUUGGGCGUAAAGGGCUCGUAGGCGGUCUGUCACGUCGGGAGUGAAAACACGGGGCUUAACCCCGUGCCUGCUUCCGAUACGGGCAGACUAGAGGUAUGCAGGGGAGAACGGAAUUCCUGGUGUAGCGGUGAAAUGCGCAGAUAUCAGGAGGAACACCGGUGGCGAAGGCGGUUCUCUGGGCCGUUACUGACGCUGAGGAGCGAAGCGUGGGGAGCGAACAGG